Molecule: non-coding RNA, 75 nt
Organism: Myotis davidii
Lineage: Eukaryota; Metazoa; Chordata; Mammalia; Chiroptera; Vespertilionidae
Source: Rfam
GGCAGUUCUCGGGUGAUGCACCCUAGAAUCGGACUCCCUCCUCUCUGGUUCUGGGUGCUUAACCCAAGAAACACA